GCCCUUGUAGCUCAGUGGUAGAGCGCUUCACUCGUAUACCAAUACUGUCAUGAAGAGGUCCGCGGUUCAAUCCCGCGUGGGGGCA
Transfer RNA from Aspergillus brasiliensis CBS 101740, 85 nucleotides. It matches the Rfam family "tRNA". Rfam says of the family: Transfer RNA (tRNA) molecules are approximately 80 nucleotides in length. The record is from Rfam. NCBI's taxonomy places the organism in Eukaryota, Fungi, Ascomycota, Eurotiomycetes, Eurotiales, Aspergillaceae.